RNAcentral lists this ribosomal RNA (301 nucleotides) under uncultured bacterium. RNAcentral's name for it is "partial 16S ribosomal RNA". It matches the Rfam family "Archaeal small subunit ribosomal RNA", at positions 459 to 760 of the family's 1478-position model. The record is from RNAcentral.
CAGUAGCCGCGGGAAAACCAGCACCUCGAGUGGUCAGGAGGUUUAUUGGGCCUAAAGCAUCCGUAGCCGGUUGCAUAAGUUUUCGGUUAAAUCUAUGCGCUUAACGUAUAGGCCGCCGAAAAUACUGUGCAGCUAGGGAGUGGGAGAGGUACACGGUACUCGAUAGGAAGGGGUAAAAUCCUUUGAUCUAUUGAUGACCACCUGUGGCGAAGGCGGUGUACCAGAACACGUCCGACAGUGAGGGAUGAAAGCUGGGGGAGCAAACCGGAUUAGAUACCCCCGUAGUCCCUGUCUCUUAUAC